This 462-nucleotide ribosomal RNA is filed under the name uncultured bacterium. RNAcentral describes it as "partial 16S ribosomal RNA". It matches the Rfam family "Bacterial small subunit ribosomal RNA", at positions 28 to 507 of the family's 1533-position model. The record is from RNAcentral.
GACGAACGCUGGCGGCGUGCUUAACACAUGCAAGUCGAACGGAAAGGCCCUUCGGGGUACUCGAGUGGCGAACGGGUGAGUAACACGUGGGUGAUCUGCCCUGCACUUUGGGAUAAGCCUGGGAAACUGGGUCUAAUACCGAAUAGGACCACGCGCUUCAUGGUGUGUGGUGGAAAGCUUUUGCGGUGUGGGAUGGGCCCGCGGCCUAUCAGCUUGUUGGUGGGGUAAUGGCCUACCAAGGCGACGACGGGUAGCCGGCCUGAGAGGGUGACCGGCCACACUGGGACUGAGAUACGGCCCAGCCUCCUACGGGAGGCAGCAGUGGGGAAUAUUGCACAAUGGGCGCAAGCCUGAUGCAGCGACGCCGCGUGAGGGAUGACGGCCUUCGGGUUGUAAACCUCUUUCACCAGGGACGAAGCGUAAGUGACGGUACCUGGAGAAGAAGCACCGGCCAACUACGUG